Molecule: ribosomal RNA, 251 nt
Filed under: uncultured bacterium
Lineage: Bacteria
Description: partial 16S ribosomal RNA
Rfam family: Bacterial small subunit ribosomal RNA
Source: RNAcentral
GUGGAAAGUGGCGCACGGGUGAGUAACGCGUGGGCACCUACCCUGAAGUGGGGAACAACCACUGGAAACGGUGGCUAAUACCGCAUACGCCCGGUUUGGUUACGGCCAGAUCGGGGAAAGCUUUAUGCGCUUCAGGAUGGGCCCGCGUCGGAUUAGCUAGUUGGUGUGGUAAUGGCGCACCAAGGCUUCGAUCCGUAGCUGGUCUGAGAGGAUGAUCAGCCACACUGGAACUGAGACACGGUCCAGACUCC